RNAcentral lists this ribosomal RNA (497 nucleotides) under uncultured bacterium. Its description in RNAcentral is "partial 16S ribosomal RNA". It matches the Rfam family "Bacterial small subunit ribosomal RNA", at positions 28 to 507 of the family's 1533-position model. The record is from RNAcentral.
GAUGAACGCUGGCGGCGUGCCUAAUACAUGCAAGUCGAGCGAACGGACGAGAAGCUUGCUUCUCUAAUGUUAGCGGCGGACGGGUGAGUAACACGUGGAUAACCUACCUAUAAGACUGGGAUAACUUCGGGAAACCGUAGCUAAUACCGGAUAAUAUUUUGAACCGCAUGGUUCAAAAGUGAAAGACGGUCUUGCUGUCACUUAUAGAUGGAUCCGCGCUGCAUUAGCUAGUUGGUAAGGUAACGGCUUACCAAGGCAACGAUGCAUAGCCGACCUGAGAGGGUGAUCGGCCACACGGGAACUGAGACACGGUCCAGACUCCUACGGGAGGAAGCAGUGGGGAAUCUUCGGCAAUGGGCGAAAGCCUGACGGACCAACGCCGCGGGAGUGAUGAAGGUCUUCGGAUCGUAAAACUCUGUUAUGGGGGAAGAACAUAUGUGUAAGUACCUGUGCACAUCUUGACGGUACCUAAUCAGAAAGCCACGGCAAACUACGUG